RNAcentral lists this ribosomal RNA (478 nucleotides) under uncultured bacterium. RNAcentral's name for it is "partial 16S ribosomal RNA". It matches the Rfam family "Bacterial small subunit ribosomal RNA", at positions 28 to 523 of the family's 1533-position model. The record is from RNAcentral.
GACGAACGCUGGCGGCGUGCUUAACACAUGCAAGUCGAACGGUAAGGCCCUUCGGGGUACACGAGUGGCGAACGGGUGAGUAACACGUGGGUGAUCUGCCCUGCACUUCGGGAUAAGCCUCGCAAACUGGGCCUAAUACCGGAUAGGACCCUGGGAUGCAUGUCCUGGGGUGGAAAGCUUUUGCGGUGUGGGAUGGGCCCGCGGCCUAUCAGCUUGUUGGUGGGGUGAUGGCCUACCAAGGCGACGACGGGUAGCCGGCCUGAGAGGGUGACCGGCCACACUGGGACUGAGAUACGGCCCAGACUCCUACGGGAGGCAGCAGUGGGGAAUAUUGCACAAUGGGCGCAAGCCUGAUGCAGCGACGCCGCGUGAGGGAUGACGGCCUUCGGGUUGUAAACCUCUUUCAGCACCGACGAAGCGCAAGUGACGGUAGGUGCAGAAGAAGGACCGGCCAACUACGUGCCAGCCGCCGCGGUAA